Molecule: ribosomal RNA, 253 nt
Filed under: uncultured bacterium
Lineage: Bacteria
Description: partial 16S ribosomal RNA
Rfam family: Bacterial small subunit ribosomal RNA
Source: RNAcentral
UACGAAGGGGGCUAGCGUUGCUCGGAAUCACUGGGCGUAAAGGGUGCGUAGGCGGGCCUUUAAGUCAGGGGUGAAAUCCUGGAGCUCAACUCCAGAACUGCCUUUGAUACUGGCGAUCUCGAGUCCGGGAGAGGUGAGUGGAACUGCGAGUGUAGAGGUGAAAUUCGUAGAUAUUCGCAAGAACACCAGUGGCGAAGGCGGCUCACUGGCCCGGUACUGACGCUGAGGUGCGAAAGCGUGGGGAGCAAACAGG